GACGAACGCUGGCGGCGUGCCUAACACAUGCAAGUCGAGCGGGGUCCAUCCGGUAGCAAUACUGGGGAAGACCUAGCGGCGAACGGGUGAGUAACACGUGAGAAACCUGCCCCGAAGUCUGGGAUAACCCGAGGAAACUCGAGCUAAUACCGGAUGCCUUCUUCUGAUCGCAUGGUCGGAUGAAGAAAGAUUUAUCGCUUCGGGAGGGUCUCGCGGCCUAUCAGCUAGUUGGCGGGUAACGGCCCACCAAGGCGUCGACGGGUAGCUGGUCUGAGAGGACGAUCAGCCACACUGGGACUGAGACACGGCCCAGACUCCUACGGGAGGCAGCAGUGGGGAAUAUUGCGCAAUGGGCGAAAGCCUGACGCAGCAACGCCGCGUGCGGGAUGAAGGCCUUCGGUUGUAAACCGCUUUCAGUGGGACGAAUUCAGACGGUA
This 437-nucleotide ribosomal RNA is filed under the name uncultured bacterium. RNAcentral describes it as "bacterial SSU rRNA". It matches the Rfam family "Bacterial small subunit ribosomal RNA", at positions 28 to 477 of the family's 1533-position model. The record is from RNAcentral.